UGUGGCCUACGGGGGGCAGCAGUGGGGAAUAUUGCACAAUGGGGGAAACCCUGAUGCAGCGACGCCGCGUGGGCGAAGAAGUAUUUCGGUAUGUAAAGCCCUAUCAGCAGGGAAGAAGAAAUGACGGUACCUGAGUAAGAAGCACCGGCUAAAUACGUGCCAGCAGCCGCGGUAAUACGUAUGGUGCAAGCGUUAUCCGGAUUUACUGGGUGUAAAGGGAGCGCAGGCGGCACGGCAAGCCUGAUGUGAAAGCCUGCGGCCCACCCGCGGGACUGCAUUGGGAACUACCGGCCUG
Molecule: ribosomal RNA, 295 nt
Filed under: uncultured bacterium
Lineage: Bacteria
Description: partial 16S ribosomal RNA
Rfam family: Bacterial small subunit ribosomal RNA
Source: RNAcentral